This 424-nucleotide ribosomal RNA is filed under the name fungal sp. 30 CC 17-01. RNAcentral's name for it is "eukaryotic LSU rRNA". The stretch from base 1 to 152 matches the Rfam family "5.8S ribosomal RNA". Lineage: Eukaryota; Fungi. The record is from RNAcentral.
CUUUCAACAACGGAUCUCUUGGCUCUCGCAUCGNUGAAGAACGCAGCGAAAUGCGAUAAGUAAUGUGAAUUGCAGAAUUCAGUGAAUCAUCGAAUCUUUGAACGCACCUUGCGCUCCUUGGUAUUCCGAGGAGCAUGCCUGUUUGAGUGUCUUGAAGUCAUCAACCGAGCCCGUUUCCUCUUUGGAGCGGGCCAGGUUGGAACCUGGGGCCGUGCUGCCGCAAGGCUGCUCCCCUCAAAUGCAUCGGUUGGGCCUGUGGGUCGAACUCGAAUGGGCGUUGUAACAUCCUCGCUCUCCACGAGACGGACCCCUCCCGUGCCCUCCUGCGACCGGCCUUUGGAGUGGCGGUCAACACUUUUUUGAAAUCUGACCUCAAAUCAGGUAGGACUACCCGCUGAACUUAAGCAUAUCAAUAAGCGGAGGA